Molecule: ribosomal RNA, 207 nt
Filed under: uncultured bacterium
Lineage: Bacteria
Description: partial 16S ribosomal RNA
Rfam family: Bacterial small subunit ribosomal RNA
Source: RNAcentral
UGCGUAGGUGGUCGGAUAAGUCUGAUGUGAAAUCUCCGAGCUCAACUCGGAAAUGGCAUCGGAUACUAUUUGGCUCGAGGAUUGGAGGGGGGACUGGAAUUCUCGGUGUAGCAGUGAAAUGCGUAGAUAUCGAGAGGAACACCAGUGGCGAAGGCGAGUCCCUGGACAAUUCCUGACACUGAGGCACGAAAGCUAGGGGAGCAAACA